CAGUCGCCGCGGUAAUACAGAGGGUGCAGGCGUUAAUCGGAAUUACUGGGCGUAAAGCGCGCGUAGGUGGUUCGCCAAGUUGGAUGUGAAAUCCCCGGGCUCAACCUGGGAACUGCAUCCAAAACUGGCGAGCUAGAGUAUGGUAGAGGGUGGUGGAAUUUCCUGUGUAGCGGUGAAAUGCGUAGAUAUAGGAAGGAACAUCAGUGGCGAAGGCGACCACCUGGACUGAUACUGACACUGAGGUGCGAAAGCGUGGGGAGCAAACAGGAUUAGAUACCCCGGUAGUCCCUGUCUCUUAUAA
RNAcentral lists this ribosomal RNA (301 nucleotides) under uncultured bacterium. RNAcentral describes it as "partial 16S ribosomal RNA". It matches the Rfam family "Bacterial small subunit ribosomal RNA", at positions 509 to 809 of the family's 1533-position model. The record is from RNAcentral.